RNAcentral lists this ribosomal RNA (492 nucleotides) under uncultured bacterium. Its description in RNAcentral is "partial 16S ribosomal RNA". It matches the Rfam family "Bacterial small subunit ribosomal RNA", at positions 28 to 523 of the family's 1533-position model. The record is from RNAcentral.
GAUGAACGCUAGCGGAAGGCUUAAUACAUGCAAGUCGAGCGGUAGUCCCUUUCGGGGGAUGAGAGCGGCGCACGGGUGAGUAACGCGUACAUGACCUGCCUAUCAGAAGGGGAUAGCCCUGGGAAACUGGGAUUAAUACCCUAUGGCAUUGUAUUUUUAAAUGGAUACAAUUAAAGCUGAGGCGCUGAUAGAUGGAUGUGCGUCUGAUUAGCUAGUUGGGGGGGUAAAGGCCCACCAAGGCGACGAUCAGUAGGGGGCGUGAGAGCGUGGUCCCCCACACGGGUACUGAGACACGGACCCGACUCCUACGGGAGGCAGCAGUAAGGAAUAUUGGUCAAUGUCCGCAAGGGUGAACCAGCCAUUCCGCGUGGAGGAUGAAGGCCCUAUGGGUUGUAAACUUCUUUUAGAUGGGAAGAAAAUGCUUUGUUUACAAGGUACUGACGGUACCAUCAGAAUAAGCACCGGCUAACUCCGUGCCAGCAGCCGCCGUAA